RNAcentral lists this ribosomal RNA (449 nucleotides) under uncultured bacterium. RNAcentral's name for it is "bacterial SSU rRNA". It matches the Rfam family "Bacterial small subunit ribosomal RNA", at positions 328 to 793 of the family's 1533-position model. The record is from RNAcentral.
CGCUAUCACUCCUACGGGAGCAGCAGUGGGGAAUCUUGCGCAAUGGGCGAAAGCCUGACGCAGCCAUGCCGCGUGAAUGAUGAAGGUCUUAGGAUUGUAAAAUUCUUUCACCGGGGACGAUAAUGACGGUACCCCGGAGAAGAAGCCCCGGCUAACUUCGUGCCAGCAGCCGCGGUAAUACGAAGGGGGCUAGCGUUGCUCGGAAUUACUGGGCGUAAAGGGAGCGUAGGCGGACAUUUAAGUCAGGGGUGAAAUACCCGGGGCUCAACCUCGGAAUUGCCUUUGAUACUGGAUGUCUUGAGUGUGAGAGAGGUAUGUGGAACUCCGAGUGUAGAGGUGAAAUUCGUAGAUAUUCGGAAGAACACCAGUGGCGAAGGCGACAUACUGGCUCAUUACUGACGCUGAGGCUCGAAAGCGUGGGGAGCAAACAGGAUUAGAUACCCUGGUAG